RNAcentral lists this ribosomal RNA (80 nucleotides) under Orthopyxis sargassicola. Its description in RNAcentral is "partial 28S ribosomal RNA". It matches the Rfam family "Eukaryotic large subunit ribosomal RNA", at positions 1 to 80 of the family's 3401-position model. Lineage: Eukaryota; Metazoa; Cnidaria; Hydrozoa; Leptothecata; Campanulariidae. The record is from RNAcentral. RNAcentral also lists the same sequence under 1 other name.
UGACCUCAGAUCAGGCAAGACUACCCGCUGAAUUUAAGCAUAUUAAUAAGCGGAGGAAAAGAAACUAACAAGGAUUCCCU